RNAcentral lists this ribosomal RNA (133 nucleotides) under Danio rerio (zebrafish). The record is from RNAcentral. Lineage: Eukaryota; Metazoa; Chordata; Actinopteri; Cypriniformes; Danionidae.
UGCAUCAGACCCAACUUUAGAUACACCCUCCAUCAAGCAUUAAUGUUGAAGCCCUGUUUGAAGCUAAGCAGAGGGGAAGCCUGGUCGGUAUCUGGGUGGGAGACCACAUGGAAAAACUAAGUUGCUGUUGGAA